This 433-nucleotide ribosomal RNA is filed under the name uncultured bacterium. Its description in RNAcentral is "partial 16S ribosomal RNA". It matches the Rfam family "Bacterial small subunit ribosomal RNA", at positions 29 to 507 of the family's 1533-position model. The record is from RNAcentral.
AACGAACGCUGGCGGCAUGCCUAACACAUGCAAGUCGAACGAGACCUUCGGGUCUAGUGGCGCACGGGUGCGUAACGCGUGGGAACCUGCCCUUAGGUUCGGAAUAACUCCCCGAAAGGGGUGCUAAUACCGGAUAAUGUCUUCGGACCAAAGAUUUAUCGCCUUUGGAUGGGCCCGCGUUGGAUUAGCUGGUUGGUAGGGUAAAAGCCUACCAAGGCGACGAUCCAUAGCUGGUCUGAGAGGAUGAUCAGCCACACUGGGACUGAGACACGGCCCAGACUCCUACGGGAGGCAGCAGUGGGGAAUAUUGGACAAUGGGCGAAAGCCUGAUCCAGCACUGCCGCGUGAGUGAUGAAGGCCUUAGGGUUGUAAAGCUCUUUUAACCGGGAUGAUAAUGACAGUACCGGGAGAAUAAGCUCCGGCUAACUCCGUG